RNAcentral lists this ribosomal RNA (499 nucleotides) under uncultured bacterium. RNAcentral describes it as "bacterial SSU rRNA". It matches the Rfam family "Bacterial small subunit ribosomal RNA", at positions 30 to 504 of the family's 1533-position model. The record is from RNAcentral.
CGAACGCUGGCGGCGUGCCUAACACAUGCAAGUCGAACGAGAAAGCGGGCUUCGGCCCGUGAGUAAAGUGGCAGACGGGUGAGUAACACGUGGGUAACCUGCCCGGAGGUGGGGGAUAACCCUUCGAAAGGAGGGCUAAUACCGCAUGAUAUCUCGGACUUCUCGGAGACCGAGAUCAAAGCUAGCCUCUGUUUCAUGCUAGUGCCACCGGAGGGGCCCGCGUCCCAUUAGCUUGUUGGUGAGGUAACGGCUCACCAAGGCCCCGAUGGGUAGCCGGCCUGAGAGGGUGAUCGGCCACACUGGAACUGAGACACGGUCCAGACUCCUACGGGAGGCAGCAGUGAGGAAUUUUGCGCAAUGGGCGAAAGCCUGACGCAGCGACGCCGCGUGGAGGACGAAGGUCUUCGGAUCGUAAACUCCUGUCAAGCGGGACGAAUCCUGCGGGGAUGAAUAAGCCUCGCAGUUGACGGUACCGCUGGAGGAAGCCCCGGCUAACUCC